RNAcentral lists this ribosomal RNA (253 nucleotides) under uncultured prokaryote. Its description in RNAcentral is "partial 16S ribosomal RNA". It matches the Rfam family "Bacterial small subunit ribosomal RNA", at positions 524 to 776 of the family's 1533-position model. RNAcentral also lists the same sequence under 1 other name. The record is from RNAcentral.
UACGUAGGGUGCGAGCGUUAAUCGGAAUUACUGGGCGUAAAGCGUGCGCAGGCGGCUAUGUAAGACAGGUGUGAAAUCCCCGAGCUUAACUUGGGAAUUGCAUUUGUGACUGCAUGGCUAGAGUGUGUCAGAGGGAGGUGGAAUUCCACGUGUAGCAGUGAAAUGCGUAGAUAUGUGGAGGAACACCAAUGGCGAAGGCAGCCUCCUGGGAUAACACUGACGCUCAUGCACGAAAGCGUGGGGAGCAAACAGG